This 392-nucleotide ribosomal RNA is filed under the name uncultured microorganism. RNAcentral describes it as "bacterial SSU rRNA". It matches the Rfam family "Archaeal small subunit ribosomal RNA", at positions 330 to 724 of the family's 1478-position model. The record is from RNAcentral.
GCGCAGCAGUCGCGAAACUUCACACUGUGCGAAAGCACGAUGAGGGAAUCCCAAGUGCUUGCACGUAAGUGUAAGCUGUUUCUCUGUCUAAAACGCAGAGAGAGUAAGGGCUGGGUAAGACGGGUGCCAGCCUCCGCGGUAAUACCUGCAGCUCAAGUGGUGACCGUUAUUAUUGGGCCUAAAACGUCCGUAGCCGGUUUAAUAAAUGCCUGGGUAAAUUGUGUAGCUUAACUAUACGAAUUCCGGGUAGACUGUUAAACUUGAGACCGGGAGAAGUUAGAGGUACUCCUGGGGUAGAGGUGAAAUUCUGUAAUCCUAGGGGGACCACCAGUGGCGAAGGCGUCUAACUAGAACGGGUCUGACGGUGAGGGACGAAGCCCUGGGGCGCAAAC